Molecule: ribosomal RNA, 433 nt
Filed under: uncultured bacterium
Lineage: Bacteria
Description: partial 16S ribosomal RNA
Rfam family: Bacterial small subunit ribosomal RNA
Source: RNAcentral
AACGAACGCUGGCGGCAUGCCUAACACAUGCAAGUCGAACGAGACCUUCGGGUCUAGUGGCGCACGGGUGCGUAACGCGUGGGAAUCUGCCCUUGGGUUCGGAAUAACAGUUGGAAACGACUGCUAAUACCGGAUGAUGACGUAAGUCCAAAGAUUUAUCGCCCCAGGAUGAGCCUGCGUAGGAUUAGCUAGUUGGUGAGGUAAAGGCUCACCAAGGCGACGAUCCUUAGCUGGUCUGAUAGGAUGAUCAGCCACACUGGGACUGGGACACGGCCCAGACUCCUACGGGGGGCAGCAGUGGGGAAUAUUAGACGAUGGGCGAUAGCCUGAUCCAGCAGUGCCGCGUGAGUGAUGAAGGCCUUAGGAUUGUAAAGCUCUUUUACCCGGGAUGAUAAUGACAGUACCGGGAGAAUAAGCUCCGGCUAACUCCGUG